This 72-nucleotide transfer RNA is filed under the name Camelus bactrianus (Bactrian camel). It matches the Rfam family "tRNA". From Rfam's summary of the family: Transfer RNA (tRNA) molecules are approximately 80 nucleotides in length. Lineage: Eukaryota; Metazoa; Chordata; Mammalia; Artiodactyla; Camelidae. RNAcentral also lists the same sequence under 2 other names. The record is from Rfam by way of RNAcentral.
GAGGGAAUAGCUCAGUGGUAAAGUGCAUGAUUAGUAUGCACAAGGUCCUGGGUUCAAUCCCCAGUACCUCCA